This 385-nucleotide ribosomal RNA is filed under the name uncultured Sphingobacteriales bacterium. Its description in RNAcentral is "bacterial SSU rRNA". It matches the Rfam family "Bacterial small subunit ribosomal RNA", at positions 994 to 1382 of the family's 1533-position model. The record is from RNAcentral. Lineage: Bacteria; Pseudomonadati; Bacteroidota; Sphingobacteriia; Sphingobacteriales.
ACGUAUUCUGAAAGGGAAGUACUUCUCGGACAAUAUACAAGGUGCUGCAUGGUGUCGUCAGCUCGUGCCGUGAGGUGUCGGGUUAAGUCCCAUAACGAGCGCAACCCCUAUCAUUAGUUGCCAUCAGGUCAAGCUGGGGACUCUAAUGAAACUGCCUACGCAAGUAGUGAGGAAGGUGGGGAUGACGUCAAAUCAGCACGGCCCUUACGUCCAGGGCUACACACGUGCUACAAUGGCCGAUACAGAGGGCAGCUACCUGGUGACAGGAUGCAAAUCUCCAAAGUCGGUCUCAGUUCGGAUCGGAGUCUGCAACCCGACUCCGUGAAGUUGGAUUCGCUAGUAAUCGCGCAUCAGCCAUGGCGCGGUGAAUACGUUCCCGGGUCUU